Molecule: ribosomal RNA, 497 nt
Filed under: uncultured bacterium
Lineage: Bacteria
Description: partial 16S ribosomal RNA
Rfam family: Bacterial small subunit ribosomal RNA
Source: RNAcentral
GAUGAACGCUGGCGGCGUGCCUAAUACAUGCAAGUCGAGCGAACGGACGAGAAGCUUGCUUCUCUGAUGUUAGCGGCGGACGGGUGAGUAACACGUGGAUAACCUACCUAUAAGACUGGGAUAACUUCGGGAAACCGGAGCUAAUACCGGAUAAUAUUUUGAACCGCAUGGUUCAAAAGUGAAAGACGGUCUUGCUGUCACUUAUAGAUGGAUCCGCGCUGCAUUAGCUAGUUGGUAAGUUAACGGCUUACCAAGGCAACGAUGCAUAGCCGACCUGAGAGGGUGAUCGGCCACACUGGAACUGAGACACGGUCCAGACUCCUACGGGAGGCAGCAGUAGGGAAUCUUCCGCAAUGGGCGAAAGCCUGACGGAGCAGCGCCGCGUGAGUGAUGAAGGUCUUCGGAUCGUAAAACUCUGUUAUUAGGGAAGAACAUAUGUGGAAGUAACUGUGCACAUCGUGACGGUACCUAAUCAGAAAGCCACGGCUAACUACGUG